CAUCUUUUCUUUAUUGUCCUUCUUUCCUCCCUUUUCUUUUUUUCUUUCCUUUCUCUCUUUUCUCCCCCUCCCGCAGCGGCCAUGGCGGAGCGGAGCGCGGUGCCGGUACCGGGCCGCUGCCGGGGGCGGUGGAGCAGCGCCCGGCGGAGCCCGCAGGCUCUCCCUGGAUCACCAGCUCCCCCAGUUUGUCCGCAGCGUGGUACUGGUUGCCCAUCAGCCAGACAGUGGGCACGGACUGGGCAGCCUUGCACAGAUUUUCCUUCGAAGGGAAUUCAAUGGGAGUUGCCCUACGGUCAGACUUGGGCAGCUAGAGAAAUUUCCCUGGGAUUUUAAUGAUCCCUUCCAUCAACAAAACUCACCUCUGACAUGACAGAUCUUGCACUGCCAUAAAUCAUUCUCCUUAACUACCUUUUCCCCCUGUUCAAAAGCUUUUUCUAAAUGAAAUUAUCUAUUCUGUUAUUGAUGUCAUUUGGGGAAUACAAUCUUUACCCACCAUUUUGUUAGAGACAUUAAUAUAACAUCCAGAGCAAGCGAUAACAUACCCUUCAGGAAGGGGUUGUUAUGCACCACACCGUGCAAAAGAGCAGUCGCAAAUGGGACUGACUUUGGUAUUGGAGAUUGGAACAGACUCUUCCUGCUCAUUUCAGGGAAAGUCAGGAGUAAGUUUAUGCCCUUGCCAGGAGUGACACGCUGCAGAACCGCAGUGGAAAGAGAACAAAAUCCCAGGGGUUGGCUGCUAACGUCAGUGAUACUGGUGCAAAUGAGAGCAGCCUCCUGCCCAGGCGGUUUCUUCCAGGAGCGUGGGAUCCUGGUGAGUCAAUGAGAUGGGCAGAGAGGCAUGCCCUCAUUAGCCCCUAAUGAGAAGGCAAGGAAAGUAACCUUCCUUUUUAAGCCAGGACCUUACCCUGGACAUCCCUCAUAGUUCACCUUCCCCAGCUUGCUUCCAUUUUUUUAGCUCUAUGGCCCUUUCGUCCCCGUCGCCGCCCCUUGCUCUGUGCUCCCGCAGAGCCCCGGCACCCAGAGCCGCUCUUCCCCCCCAGCUGCCACCAAAGCUGGAAGAAAACCCUGCCUGGUUGUGCAUGCACAGAUAAAUCUCUUCUUCCAUGUAUUUUGUCUGCUGGGGAGGAGUGGUACCUGCACACUGUAGGUGCUUAACUGCAGCGCCCGCCGUGGGCUGUAAUUUGGCCUAAUCGGGCACUUCCUCCCAUUUCUGGUAGGAGGGUUAUUUGUAUAACAGAAAUGCAAUCUCUGGCGUAUUUUUCAUGUGCGUGGUGAAAAGUAACUGAGCCUGCUUGUUCUUCUGUGGGGCUUCAAACUUUUUCUAUGAGCAAUAACUGUAUUGAAGACAAUAAAUGUUUUCCAUACCUGUAGUUGUUGUUAAUAAAAUCUUCACUCCAGUAAC
Long non-coding RNA from Tyto alba (common barn owl), 1402 nucleotides. RefSeq lists it as uncharacterized. The transcript has 2 exons. Lineage: Eukaryota; Metazoa; Chordata; Aves; Strigiformes; Tytonidae. The record is from RefSeq and is a predicted model, not a curated record.